Molecule: transfer RNA, 76 nt
Filed under: Candidatus Bathyarchaeota archaeon
Lineage: Archaea; Thermoproteati; Candidatus Bathyarchaeota
Also listed under: 3 other names
Description: tRNA-His
Rfam family: tRNA
About the family: Transfer RNA (tRNA) molecules are approximately 80 nucleotides in length. Their secondary structure includes four short double-helical elements and three loops (D, anti-codon, and T loops).
Source: RNAcentral
GCCGGGGUGAGGUAGCUUGGUAGCCUAUAGGCCUGUGGAGCCUAGCGCCCGGGUUCAAAUCCCGGCCCCGGCCCCA